CAGCAGCCGCGGUAAUACGUAGGGGGCGAGCGUUGUCCGGAUUUACUGGGCGUAAAGGGUGAGUAGGCGGUUAUAUAUGUCAGAUGUAAAAGGCUAUGGCUUAACCAUAGUUGGCAUUUGAAACUGUAUGACUUGAGUGCAGGAGAGGUAAGUGGAAUUCCUAGUGUAGCGGUGAAAUGCGUAGAUAUUAGGAGGAACACCAGUGGCGAAGGCGACUUACUGGACUGUAACUGACGCUGAGUCACGAAAGCGUGGGUAGCAAACAGGAUUAGAUACCCUGGUAGUCCACGCCGUAAACGAUGAGUGCUAGGUGUCGGGUAGAAAUAUUCAGUGCCGCAGCUAACACAAUAAGCACUCCGCCUGGGGAGUACGUCGCAAGUAUGAAACUCAAAGGAAUUGAC
This 401-nucleotide ribosomal RNA is filed under the name uncultured Sedimentibacter sp. RNAcentral describes it as "bacterial SSU rRNA". It matches the Rfam family "Bacterial small subunit ribosomal RNA", at positions 509 to 914 of the family's 1533-position model. Lineage: Bacteria; Bacillati; Bacillota; Tissierellia. The record is from RNAcentral.